UUCGAUACAAAGUGCCAUUAAAGGCUUAAUAUGUGUUUAGGAAUACAUAAAAUCAUAUUAGUGAGUACGGAUUACAUAGUACCAGAUAUAUAGACGAUAGUUUCUAGAUCAUUCAUGAAAGGGUCGAAAGGCGUUUUCAGGUCCCCUCUAUUCCAUCAUGGUCUAUGAUUAUUUUAUUGUUACAAUCCUAACAACUUGGAGUACGUACUCCACAGGUUGAAGCAACUCUCCGGGCAUUAGGAGAGUUGACAUAUGGACGGAGAUUUGGAUUCUGGAGGUACCCACAAAGACAAGGUUUCUGCUCUCUCAACUUAGCGCAACAUACCGAAGAGGGUGGUUGUGAUGAUGUAAUCGCCCCGGCACAU
Molecule: long non-coding RNA, 365 nt
Filed under: Capsicum annuum
Lineage: Eukaryota; Viridiplantae; Streptophyta; Magnoliopsida; Solanales; Solanaceae
Description: long non-coding RNA (CANN_LNC007154)
Source: RNAcentral